AGAUAAGACCUCAACUCAGUCAAAGAACCUAUAGCACAAGAAUCUCUAGAACCAAAUAUAUUCAGUUGGGAAGUGGAAAAUACAAAAACAGCCUUAUUACUCUUCAACCACCUUAUAUCUCCUGUAUUUUCUUCAACAGGUUGAAUUGAAAUAUUGGAUCACACUUUAACACCUUAUACCAGCUGUGGUAUGCUAACAUCCCCCCUCAAACUUGGCCGAGGGCCGAGGCGAAGUUUGCUGCGGAAUAAUGCAAGGGCAGAUUUGUGAAUUGGUUUCGUGAAGAUGUCAGCGACCUGUUGUGUUGUUGGAACAUGCUUGGUUACUAAAUUUCCUUGUGCCACACGUUCUCUGACGAAGUGGUAGUCCAACUCGAUGUGUUUACUUCUGGCAUGAAAAACAGGAUUUACUGUAAGGUAGAGAGCACUAAGAUUAUCACAAAACAAUACUGAGGGACUUGUGAGAGGAAUGGCAAAGUCUUUGAGCAUAUAAGUAAGCCAAGUCAAUUCUGCAGCGGUGUGCGCCAUGGCCCGAUACUCAGCCCCAGUACUGGAUCGGGAAACCGUGUGUUGUUUCUUGGCACACCACGAAAUCAAGUUGCUGCCCAAAAAGGUGCAGUAGCCUGUAGUUGAACGACGCGUGACUGGACAACCAGCCCAAUCAGCAUUGGCAAAUCCGUGAAGUUCCAUGGUUGAGUGAGAAGUAAAAUACAAGCCAUGUGUUAACGUGCCCUUCACAUAACGCAUAAUUCGAUGCAGAAACUUCAUGUGAACAACUGUGGGAUCCUGCAUAAAUUGAGAAACAAAGUUGACAGCAAACGCAAUAUCUGGUCGGGUUAGUGUCAAGUAUUGCAAGGCACCAACAAUACUUCUGUAGAGUGUUGCAUCAACAGAAGCAGCAGCCUUGGUGACAGGUGGCUUAAGCUCUAAUGGAGUCGUCAUGGGCUUACUAUCAAGCAUGCCAAACCUGUCCAGUAAAGUCAGAGCAUAAUGAACCUGAUUUAAGUGUAAACCAUCAGCAGUGUGUGUGACUUCAAUGCCUAAAAAAUGAUGCAACAGACCCAAAUCUUUCAUAGCAAACUCAUUACAUAAUAAUUGAACAAAAUCAUCAAUUAAUGCAGCAGAAGAACCUAUAGCACAAGAAUCUCUAGAACCAAAUAUAUUCAGUUGGGAAGUGGAAAAUACAAAAACAGCCUUAUUACUCUUCAACCACCUUAUAUCUCCUGUAUUUUCUUCAAC
Molecule: long non-coding RNA, 1235 nt
Filed under: Jatropha curcas
Lineage: Eukaryota; Viridiplantae; Streptophyta; Magnoliopsida; Malpighiales; Euphorbiaceae
Description: long non-coding RNA (JCUR_LNC000368)
Source: RNAcentral